AUAAUGUCAGCUUAUCCUAAGGCUGUCCAAGUACUUAAUUUACUUAAGUGUUCAUUUUAACUAACGUGCUCACUGUGUAUAGGAAUUUGUAUUUUGUAGGUGCUUGGUCUAUCUACAAAUAUCAUUAUUGUAGUUUAAAAGUUGUACAUGAUAAGAUAUUUUGAUUUUAGUAAUGUAUAUUUUUACUGAAUGAUCUAUUCCCCAUCCCAAGGCAAGCAUGAAUAAAAUUAGGUUAAACGUAGCAUGUGGCAUCACAG
This 257-nucleotide long non-coding RNA is filed under the name Pan troglodytes (chimpanzee). Its description in RNAcentral is "long non-coding RNA NONPTRT016688". The record is from RNAcentral. Lineage: Eukaryota; Metazoa; Chordata; Mammalia; Primates; Hominidae.